RNAcentral lists this ribosomal RNA (253 nucleotides) under uncultured bacterium. RNAcentral's name for it is "partial 16S ribosomal RNA". It matches the Rfam family "Bacterial small subunit ribosomal RNA", at positions 524 to 776 of the family's 1533-position model. The record is from RNAcentral.
UACGUAGGGUGCGAGCGUUGUCCGGAAUUAUUGGGCGUAAAGAGCUCGUAGGCGGCCUGUCGCGUCGAUCGUGAAAACUGGGGGCUUAACUCUCAGCUUGCAGUUGAUACGGGCAGACUUGAGUUCGGUAGGGGAGACUGGAAUUCCUGGUGUAGCGGUGAAAUGCGCAGAUAUCAGGAGGAACACCGGUGGCGAAGGCGGGUCUCUGGGCCGAUACUGACGCUGAGGAGCGAAGGCCAGGGGAGCAAACGGG